Molecule: ribosomal RNA, 250 nt
Filed under: uncultured prokaryote
Description: partial 16S ribosomal RNA
Rfam family: Bacterial small subunit ribosomal RNA
Source: RNAcentral
UGCGGAGGGUGCAAGCGUUAAUCGGAGUUACUGGGCGUAAAGCGCACGCGGGCGGUUUGUUAAGUCAGAUGUGAAAUCCCCGGGCUCAACCUGGGAACUGCAUCUGAUACUGGCAAGCUUGAGUCUCGUAGAGGGGGGUAGAAUUCCAGGUGUAGCGGUGAAAUGCGUAGAGAUCUGGAGGAAUACCGGUGGCGAAGGCGGCCCCCUGGACGAAGACUGACGCUCAGGUGCGAAAGCGUGGGGAGCAAAC